Molecule: ribosomal RNA, 774 nt
Filed under: uncultured Neocallimastigales
Lineage: Eukaryota; Fungi; Neocallimastigomycota; Neocallimastigomycetes; Neocallimastigales
Description: partial large subunit ribosomal RNA
Rfam family: Eukaryotic large subunit ribosomal RNA
Source: RNAcentral
UAGAUGCGAGAGUAGAGCAUAUCAAUAAGCGGAGGAAAAGAAACUAACAAGGAUUCCCUUAGUAACGGCGAGUGAAGCGGGAAGAGCUCAAAUUUGAAAUCUUCAAGGUUCUACCUCGACGAAUUGUAGUUUAAAGAAGUGUUUUCUGUUAGAUGAGUAGCAAAAGUUCCUUGGAAUGGGACAUCAUAGAGGGUGAGAAUCCCGUAUUUGGUUAUUCAUUCUAGCUUUGUGAUACACUUUCAAAGAGUCGGAUUGUUUGGGAAUGCAGUCCAAAAUGGGUGGUAAAUUUCAUCUAAAGCUAAAUAUUGGCGAGAGACCGAUAGCGAACAAGUACCGUGAGGGAAAGAUGAAAAGAACUUUGAAAAGAGAGUUAAACAGUACGUGAAAUUGUCAAAAGGGAAGCGUUUGACACCAGUGUUGUUUUUCCGAAAAUCAAUUACGAAUGGCUUGAUUUUGUGUUGUAUUGACCUUAUCAGCUUUCUGCACUUUUUUCGAGUCUUUCUUAAUGCACUUUUCGGUUAACAAGUCAACAUCAAUUUCUUUUGUUGUAAAAGAGUAUUCGGAAGGUGGCUUUCUUUUCGGAGAAAGUGUUUAUAGCCCUAUACUUCUACAAUCGGAGAGAUUGAGGUCUGCAGCGUAGAUCCUUCGGGGUUAGAUACACUUGUGCUAAGUUGUAGCUUUUCAUAGACAACUUGUUGACUAUGUUUAGUCAUGCGGCUUACUCGCUUGUGCUAUUUUACCUACGCUUAGGAUGUUGAGCGCAUGUCUCUCUCU